RNAcentral lists this ribosomal RNA (253 nucleotides) under uncultured bacterium. RNAcentral's name for it is "partial 16S ribosomal RNA". It matches the Rfam family "Bacterial small subunit ribosomal RNA", at positions 524 to 776 of the family's 1533-position model. The record is from RNAcentral.
UACAGAGGGGACUAGCGUUGUUCGGAAUGACUGGGCGUAAAGGGCGCGUAGGCGGUUUAUAGAGUCAGACGUGAAAGCCCCGGGCUUAACCUGGGAGGUGCGUAUGAUACCUAUAGACUAGAGAGUAAGAGAGGGGAGUGGAAUUCCAAGUGUAGAGGUGAAAUUCGUAGAUAUUUGGAGGAACACCGAUGGCGAAAGCAACUUUCUGGCUUAUUUCUGACGCUGAGGCGCGAAAGCGUGGGGAGCAAACAGG